Nephila pilipes (giant wood spider) is the source of this 86-nucleotide non-coding RNA. Lineage: Eukaryota; Metazoa; Arthropoda; Arachnida; Araneae; Nephilidae. The record is from the annotation of a GenBank genome assembly.
AGUAGCAGUGACCUAAUGGUCAUGGUCGUGGACUCGCGGCCGGUAUUGUUUCAGUCAAGACUCGGGUUCGAGUCCCGAUGCUGUUG